GAUGAACGCUGGCGGCGUGCUUAACACAUGCAAGUCGAACGGAGAAAGGGUAGCUUGCUAUCUUUUCUUAGUGGCGGACGGGUGAGUAACGCGUGGGUAACCUGCCCUUUGCAGGGGGAUAACAGUGAGAAAUCACUGCUAAUACCGCAUACCAACUUCUUUCGCAUGAAGGAAGUUUGAAAGAUUUAUCGGCAAAGGAUGGACCCGCGUUGGAUUAGCUAGUUGGUGAGAUAACAGCCCACCAAGGCAACGAUCCAUAGCCGGUCUGAGAGGGUGAACGGCCACACUGGGGCUGAGACACGGCCCAGACUCCUACGGGAGGCAGCAGUGGGGAAUAUUGCACAAUGGGCGAAAGCCUGAUGCAGCGACGCCGCGUGAAGGAUGAAGGUCUUCGGAUUGUAAACUUCUAUCAGCAGGGAAGAAAGGGCCUAUGGCCUAUGACGGUACCUGACUAAGAAGCCCCGGCUAACUACGUG
This 476-nucleotide ribosomal RNA is filed under the name uncultured bacterium. RNAcentral describes it as "bacterial SSU rRNA". It matches the Rfam family "Bacterial small subunit ribosomal RNA", at positions 28 to 507 of the family's 1533-position model. The record is from RNAcentral.